AAGAUUUUACGUCGUCGGAAGAAACUAAUUUCAAUGUUUUUCAAAGUGAUUUUGCUUUUUUGGCUGAAUGCUCCUUUCUUUUAAAAAAAAUGGUAAAUACAGACUGUAAAGGACUGAAAAAGAAAAGAACUGAACUUUAGUAAACACCUCUUUUGAAAUUAAAAAAAAUGCUUUGCUCAAUCCCAGCUGCUUUGGGAAGCAGGUAAGAAGGCAGUUGACAUUCUGACUUUUCUACUUGCUUUGGAAUGAGGAAAUCAUCAUUGCUUUGAAACCAUUUGAAGGAUGAAACAAAUCUUUUCCAGUUUCGCUCUAACUAUGAUGCAAAGAGGGAGAAUACUGAAGCAACCCUUCAAAGAGAAAAAAACAUUUCACUCUGAUUGCAUUAGGCAGUUCUUUCUCAAAAAUCAACAUUCAGCCCAGCCUUAAAGGGUUGCCAGGAGCCAAAGUCUAAUCUUGGUCUCCCGCGAGCCUGGGGGAGCUGCAGAUCCUCUGUGCAGAUCUGCCUUUUGGCCAGAUGACUCAGGGAAGAGUAAAAAUGAGCAGAAAUUUGUGUGUUGUUGAUAAAUGGCACUCGAUGAAGGGAACAAGGAAAGAAGAAGAUAUUAUAUUGACCUGACGAUUCCCAUGUGAAUGUUCCCAUUGAUUUUAUGGUCAAUUCUUGUCUAAAUAACACAGCCGACCUGGGUAUCCGACUGAAACAUGGAACCAAACCACUGCCCCGGCCCAGAGCAUGAACGAGAUGGGAGGCCGGCCACUGGCUCCAGUGCUCCCCGUCCCCUCUGCUCUGCCACCCUGCUCUAAACCGCCUCUGUGAAACGACUUGUCAAAAAAACCCACAGCAACAACCGAAUGUUGCUGGUAGUUUUUGUCACUGCAUCGCUCAGUAAAUCCCAAAUAAGGUAGAGGUGCAGGAAUCAGAUGAAUCAGGGGCAAAAACCUCUGCUGGAGCAGGGAGGAGGCGGUGUGAGACGGCGACGCUGCGGAGACGGAGCAGCCUGUUAAACCGGAUCUGCCACCGAAGGAAUCGCAGCGCGGAGCCGCGGCUGUCCCCGGGCUCGCUCCGCUCCGUCCACGCCAGGCGUCUGCGAAGCACAGGGUUAGUGCGGCGGUGAGUUGUACGUCCUAAUCAUGACACGCUGCUGCUCGCCUGGUCCAAACCGCUGGAGCAGGGCUGGAGAGCAACGGAUAGCGGCCAGAGGGCAGCUGGCGAGCUGGAAGGGCUUCUGCUCCACUGCUGGGACUUCCCACAGCAGAAAUAAGGGCUGGAUGCCAGGCACAAGAGACAGCUCCAAAAUCACAAGAAGAGUGGAGGACUAGGGAAUGGUUGCCUGGUGUGUCUUACUUUUUAAAGUGAAGAAAAAGGCGCCGAGCAGAGGGGGCUGGAUCCAUGGCUUUGAUGCAUCUUGACAUGCGCUGAGCAGAGGGGCCUGGAAGAGAUACAUCCCUCCUUGCAGCUGCAAAGAAAAGCCUAUAAGGUAUCCUGUAACCACACGUGUUUGUUAAAAAAAUGCUACCAGCAUGAAGAAAGGCAGAAUUUCCCCGCCUGUUAUAUAAUCAGAAUAAUUAAACUCAGGUGAAUGACUCCUAGGAAUUUUAGCCCUUAGAGUUUUACUUUGCUGAAUUUUAUUCAGACACUUUGAAAGCAAAGGAGGAGACAACUGUCCGGCACAGUAUGGUGUAAAUCACUGCAGGAGCAGCCCUUACUAGGAUGAGGAGCUUCCUCUGCUCUUGCUGAACCCCGCUGCGGCCUCUCAGUACUCCCACUCACCUGGCAUCAGCGCUUAUUUUAUUCUUUUGGCUAUUUUUAGUUUUAUAAAUGAAUGCACAAGCGAGGCCCAAUAGGAUUAAGCCAUUUCCUUCUUUUGGGCCAAGAUGUCUUCUACUUAUUUAAUAUAAAGAAUCAAGACAUUUCUACCCCUCAGCUCCAUUGCACCAACACAGUUGCACCAUCUCCACCUGCCAACAGCAGCAGAGCUGAACAGACCCUGCGCAGAUAAGAGCUGCAGGUCCAAGCACAGACAUCAGCGUUGGGCAGAACAAGAGAUACGCCUAUUCAUGCUGAAAACGGAGAAUGAUUUCGGCAUGCCAGGCAGGACAGUAAAGCCUGUCACUAGAAGACAGACGAGGGCAGCGUUGCCCUGUAAAGUCAGGACAGGCGUGUUCCUCCCUGAAAUGGUUUUCAUCUUACAUUGGCUGUUGGGGUCCGAGCCCCUUCCAGGGGAGCCUUGCCAAGUGCUGUCCUGUUGCUGCAGAUGUAAUGUGGGGGGCAUUUUGCUCAGGCUAUGCAGAAAGUGCAGAAAAACAGAUGUUGCCUUUGCAGUUCUGGGAAUUCAGUUAUGUUAAAGAGCUUUGCUUUCCGUUUCCAAUGGUUUUGUCAGCAUUGCUUGAUUUUUAAUAAAUGUGUACAGUGAACAGUG
Rhea pennata is the source of this 2417-nucleotide long non-coding RNA. RefSeq lists it as uncharacterized. The record is from RefSeq and is a predicted model, not a curated record. The transcript has 2 exons. Lineage: Eukaryota; Metazoa; Chordata; Aves; Rheiformes; Rheidae.